This 185-nucleotide microRNA precursor is filed under the name Oryza rufipogon (brownbeard rice). Its description in RNAcentral is "MIR812 microRNA precursor family". It matches the Rfam family "MIR812 microRNA precursor family". The record is from Rfam by way of RNAcentral. Lineage: Eukaryota; Viridiplantae; Streptophyta; Magnoliopsida; Poales; Poaceae.
AAAAAGACAAACUCUAGGUUUCCGUAUCUAAUGUUUGACUAUCCGUCUUAUAUGAAAUUUUUUAUAAUUAGUAUUUUUAUUGUUGUUAGAUGAUAAACCAUGAUUAAAACUUUAUGCGUGACUUGUCAUUUUAAUUUUUUUAAAUAAGACGGACGGUCAAACGUUGGACACGGAAACCCAGGGUU